This 76-nucleotide transfer RNA is filed under the name Candidatus Woesearchaeota archaeon CG_4_10_14_0_2_um_filter_33_13. RNAcentral's name for it is "tRNA-Cys". It matches the Rfam family "tRNA". Rfam says of the family: Transfer RNA (tRNA) molecules are approximately 80 nucleotides in length. Their secondary structure includes four short double-helical elements and three loops (D, anti-codon, and T loops). Further hydrogen bonds mediate the characteristic L-shaped molecular structure. tRNAs have two regions of fundamental functional importance: the anti-codon, which is responsible for specific mRNA codon recognition, and the 3' end, to which the tRNAs corresponding amino acid is attached (by aminoacyl-tRNA synthetases). tRNAs cope with the degeneracy of the genetic code in two manners: having more than one tRNA (with a specific anti-codon) for a particular amino acid; and 'wobble' base-pairing, i.e. permitting non-standard base-pairing at the 3rd anti-codon position. Lineage: Archaea; Nanobdellati; Candidatus Woesearchaeota. The record is from RNAcentral.
GCGUCCGUGGCAAAGUGGCUAAUGCGAGAGCCUGCAGAGCUUUAGAUCGAGGGUUCGAGUCCCUCCGGGCGCUCCA